Rosa rugosa (rugosa rose) is the source of this 1261-nucleotide long non-coding RNA. RefSeq lists it as uncharacterized. NCBI's taxonomy places the organism in Eukaryota, Viridiplantae, Streptophyta, Magnoliopsida, Rosales, Rosaceae. The record is from RefSeq and is a predicted model, not a curated record. The transcript is spliced from 4 exons.
CCAGAUCUCUCUGACCCGAGACGCACCCGCGACCUGACCCGGCCAGCGCUCCACCGUCCGGCCACCUCUCCGCGGAGGACCACUGGAAAUAGGUUCAUUUCGCCGUCGCCUACGUCCCUGCGGUCUCAGAUCGUCCAUGCAACAAUCGUGCACGGAGAACCGACAACGGAAAGCUUCGAACUUUCUCCGGCGAUUUCCGCGAGUUCUGGCCACUGUCUGGGUUGCAUUUGCUUGGGUUCAACGUCGUUGCUACCGUCGGCGACCUUUCCAGCUCUCAUUGGCUUGUUCUCGGUUUCGACUGCAACUGUAGGCAAGAUAUUGGGCAGCUUGCUGGGUAGAUUACAUCGAUAUCCUCAGUUCAUCAUCUACCUAGUUUCAGCAAGGAGUUUGGUAAGGUUGCAGUUGGAUUUUGAAGGACUCCAGUUACCUGAGGAACGGAAGGUUCGCGACUCUAGGAGUACAUGAGGAAAAGCAUCGGAAUCCAGGUAGGGAUUCAGGACUCUCCUCGGUUAGUGAUUUUCUUAUAUAUAUAUUGUUAUUAAAAUGAUGCAUGUUAAGUGGUACGGUUUGGUUAAGUUAAAAUGCAACGCAUACUAACCAAAUCGUGAGAAAUGUGAUGGCUUGAGGGCGAAAAAGGGGCACUGACUUCCUUGGGUUCGAUUCCCUUAACCUCCGGAGGGUUAGCUAUGCCGGUCGUCCGAGUAUCCGUAAUCACGGACUCGGUACGUGUGUGUAGCUAGGUAGUGGACGCUCUCGCUACACUUACCUGGUGAUAAAAUAAUUUGAGUGUGGAUGCAGGUACUGUGCACUGGUGAAGGGAUAAUGGCGGACGGAGUUGGGUGUGCGGAACAAGUUUGGUAAACCGUCUUCUGGACAGUAUUCUAAUAUCUAUUUCUUGAAAUUUGUAUCUCGGAACUGGGGUGAAACUAUUCUUGUGUCGAACUUAGUUAAUGUCUUAUUCCUUGAACUUUGUACCGAGUGAGCGAGCGUUCUUUUCAAGUCUAGACGAACAAAUUGAACUUAGCGAUUGAAGGAUUUUCACCUAAAAAAUAUUGGUACCUUCCGCUAUGUUUUGUGAAAAGUUUUUCAAACAAAAUGCCUAGCGGUCCUCUAGAAUGUAAACUGAGCAUUCGGUUUAUGUUUUAGAGACUCGCGGCACUGCGGCUUGGGGUAUUACAACCAACCUCGUCACAAGGCUCUUUUCUCUGCCUUUUGGAAAAGGACUUUCGCCUUACGGAUAAGGACUUGUGGUGUGAUCUCU